AAAAGUGCAGUGAUGAGAGCUUAAUGUGGACUAGAGUUUCUGAUCUAGCAGUUGAAGACAAACCCUUGGCUGUCUGAGCACUCUU
Magnolia sinica is the source of this 85-nucleotide small nucleolar RNA. RefSeq annotates it as small nucleolar RNA Z157/R69/R10. The record is from RefSeq and is a predicted model, not a curated record. The transcript has a single exon. Lineage: Eukaryota; Viridiplantae; Streptophyta; Magnoliopsida; Magnoliales; Magnoliaceae.